RNAcentral lists this long non-coding RNA (810 nucleotides) under Homo sapiens (human). RNAcentral's name for it is "HSALNT0345281". Lineage: Eukaryota; Metazoa; Chordata; Mammalia; Primates; Hominidae. The record is from RNAcentral.
GUAGCCAUCCACCACAUGGCUGAAUAAACCAUGACAGGACCAAUCGCCACUCAGCAAUGAGAAGCAGCUAACUGUUGACAUACCAACAGUUGCACGGGCCUCAAGGGUGUCACGCGGCAUGAAAGACACUCAUCUCAGGCCACACAGGAUUCCAUCUAUUGAACAUUCCUGAGACAACGGAAUUCUGGCGAUGGAGCACAGCUGUUGUUCCCCACCAGAACCAAAUGAGCGCAAGAUCUGACAAAGAAAAAAAAAGGUUCAUCUUUUAUUCCUCCAAACACUUUCAUUUAAAUCAAGAGGAUGGGAUGUGGUUAUUGCUGUGUUUUUAGACAGAAUCAACGGUUUCUGGGUCUGAGAUGUUGCAUACACCUUCUCAGUCCCUGUAUCCUGAGAUGGAGUCACCUGAGAAUCCACAGCAAGUCCUAACCAGGGAUGGGUCUGGGUGAUUAAGGAAGGUUGGCUUCAGAACUGGGCCAGGGGCACUGCUUUGCUUUUGCUGUUUUGAUCAGCUCUCUGCCUGAAGGAGACAAGAAAAACCAACGGGAACAGCCCAGUAAAGGCGCCAUUCCCCAUUUUACAGCUGGGGAAACUGAGUUACAGAGCUUGUCUGCACUGAGUCAUCAGGAGCAAAUGCUAGAUCAGAUAGGGUCUCUCUCUCUGCCACCCAGGCCAGAGUGCAGUUGACGCAGGGCAGGGGAGCCCCGAAGUGGAGCAUAGUGUGUCCGGAACUGGUGGGUUCUUGGUCUCACUGACUUCAAGAAAGAAGCCGCGGACCCUCGCGAGACGGGGUCUUGCUCUGUUGCUCAAGCU